RNAcentral lists this ribosomal RNA (600 nucleotides) under Myceligenerans sp. YIM C625. Its description in RNAcentral is "bacterial SSU rRNA". It matches the Rfam family "Bacterial small subunit ribosomal RNA", at positions 43 to 652 of the family's 1533-position model. Lineage: Bacteria; Bacillati; Actinomycetota; Actinomycetes; Micrococcales; Promicromonosporaceae. The record is from RNAcentral.
CGUGCUUAACACAUGCAAGUCGAACGAUGAAGCCCAGCUUGCUGGGUGGAUUAUGUGGCGAACGGGUGAGUAACACGUGAGUAACCUGCCCCCCUCUUCGGGAUAAGCCUUGGAAACGGGGUCUAAUACCGGAUAUUCAGUCUCUGCCGCAUGGUGGGGGUUGGAAAGAUUUAUUGGUGGGGGAUGGGCUCGCGGCCUAUCAGCUUGUUGGUGGGGUGAUGGCCUACCAAGGCGUCGACGGGUAGCCGGCCUGAGAGGGCGACCGGCCACACUGGGACUGAGACACGGCCCAGACUCCUACGGGAGGCAGCAGUGGGGAAUAUUGCACAAUGGGCGAAAGCCUGAUGCAGCGACGCCGCGUGAGGGAUGACGGCCUUCGGGUUGUAAACCUCUUUCGACAAGGAAGAAGCUUUCGGGUGACGGUACUUGUAGAAGAAGCGCCGGCUAACUACGUGCCAGCAGCCGCGGUAAUACGUAGGGCGCAAGCGUUGUCCGGAAUUAUUGGGCGUAAAGAGCUCGUAGGCGGUCUGUCGCGUCUGGUGUGAAAACCCGAGGCUCAACCUCGGGCUGGCAUCGGGUACGGGCAGGCUGGAGUGCGGU